RNAcentral lists this long non-coding RNA (575 nucleotides) under Anser cygnoides (Swan goose). RNAcentral describes it as "lncRNA (ENSACDG00005006786.1)". Lineage: Eukaryota; Metazoa; Chordata; Aves; Anseriformes; Anatidae. The record is from RNAcentral.
GUCAUUGUCAUUGUCACCGUGUCAUUGUCACCAUGUCACCGUCACCGUCACCGUGUCAUCGUCAUCGUGUCAUUGUCACUGUGUCACCGUCAUCAUGUCAUUGUCAUCGUCAUCGUCAUUCUCAUUGUGUCAUCGUCAUUGUCACCAUGUCAUUGUCAUCGUCAUUGUGUCGUCAUCGUCAUCACGUCAUCGUCAUUGUCACCGUGUCAUUGUCAUUGUCAUCGUCAUCGUCAUUGCGUCAUCGUCAUUGUCACCGUGUCAUUGUCAUUGUCACCGUGUCAUUGUCACCGUGUCAUUGUCAUUGUCAUCGUCAUUGUCACCGUGUCAUUGUCACCGUGUCAUUGUCACCGUCACCGCGUCAAAGUCACCACGAUGUCCCCACCCCUCGGGUCCCCUCUGUGUCCCCAACACCCCCGACGUCCCCGACGUCCCUCAAUGUCCCCAAGACCCCCCAUGUCCUAUGUCCCCAAUGUCCCCAAUGUCCCCAAUGUCCCCAUCCCCAACAUCCUCGAUGUCCCCAACGUCCCCAACGCCCCCCACGUCCCCGAUGUCCCCAAUGUCCCCGAUGUCCCCAA